This 230-nucleotide ribosomal RNA is filed under the name uncultured bacterium. RNAcentral describes it as "partial 16S ribosomal RNA". It matches the Rfam family "Bacterial small subunit ribosomal RNA", at positions 562 to 791 of the family's 1533-position model. The record is from RNAcentral.
AAAGCGCAUGUAGGUGGUUUAAUAAGUUUGAUGUGAAAGCCCUGGGCUUAACCUGGGAAUGGCGUUGAAGACUGUUAGACUCGAGUCGAAGAGAGGGUUGUGGAAUUUCCGGUGUAGCGGUGAAAUGCGUAGAGAUCGGAAAGAACACCAGUGGCGAAGGCGGCAACCUGGCUUCAGACUGACACUGAGGUGCGAAAGCGUGGGGAGCAAACAGGAUUAGAUACCCUAGU